This is a non-coding RNA of Pelobates cultripes (western spadefoot toad), 690 nucleotides long. The record is from the annotation of a GenBank genome assembly. Lineage: Eukaryota; Metazoa; Chordata; Amphibia; Anura; Pelobatidae.
AUUGGAAUGGCACUAAUGCCAGAGGACUAGAGAAUUGGGCAUCCCCAGCAUAUUGUCAAUCAACUUAAGUGACAUGUCAUUUUACUGUGUUUUUGGUUCUUAACCUUGUUUUGUGAUUUGGACCUACUGUUCCUUUCCUCCGAGAUCAUCCCUUCAUCCUUCCCUCACAAAAACACCAUGACAUGAAUAUUAAGCCCAGGAAGUGUGAUCAAUAGUCAUCACCUUGGCACUGAGUUGGUGGAGAGUGGGUAACAUGUGGUGGUUUGGUUGCUGCCUAAACCAGUAAGUAGGGAUUUGCCAUAAUAAACAUGUAUCCUUUCUCUCCACUUUAUCAGGCAUGUAGGUGGCGUUUGAGAAUUUGAAUGAUUUAUUCUCAGAAAGCCUCUCUAACGGUGGAGAAGUACUUUGCAUAAACAUUUGGGUAGUGCUGGAAGGAAUAGGAAUAGAUCCUAGUUUGGGUUUUCCUUAAUACAUAGAGAUGGGCCAGUGGAGCACUAAUUCUGGAUCAGUUCACAAGCCAAAGACCAGUCCUAUGUCUGUUGAAAGUUCUUAAUGGGAGUUUGGCAGUCAAGGCCUGGGCAUUCGCCUGCAUGGUAUACUUGGGUAGUACUACAUUGCUUGGGAACUGGACAUGCCCCAGGCAGUCACAUUAAAUUAUCCUCUCACUGUGCACAAACACUUGAAAGCAUU